CCUGCCUGAGCUGCCAACGCGCAGGCGCUAGAGGCCUGCAGGGCCCGCUGGGAAAUGUGGUUCACCGCCCCUCACCUAAGCCGGGCCGUAGGCGGAGCCACCAGAUGCGCGGAGCCCUGAAAUAACUGCUAUAACGAUGUUGCAUUAUGAAUAAUAAUGAUUUCAACUUGAGUACCACUGAUGCUGUUCUAUGCAAGAAUAUUUCCAUUAGGAAGUAUGAAAUUUCUACUUGGAAAUAUACCGCAUCCAUGGCUCCUGAACUAGGCCUCACCUCUCUCUUUGAAGUCCCCAAAGUCUGAUCAGGCCUGAGAUAUGGAGGUUUGCAAGAUCCAAGAAGACAUGGAAGGAAGGAAGAAAAUGUCUCCUCCUAUAAGGAGUGUAGAGUCUCAAGGGAGGAGGAUGGGAACUGGACUAUAACACUGAAAGAGGAUGGUUGAAGAAACUGAAAGGGCAGACCUAGAUACCCAAGGCGCUUUCCUUAAAAGGCCUAAAACUGCAAAAGCCUCCACAUAAUUACAUUAAAAGCCAUAG
This is a non-coding RNA of Odocoileus virginianus texanus, 531 nucleotides long. Lineage: Eukaryota; Metazoa; Chordata; Mammalia; Artiodactyla; Cervidae. The record is from RefSeq and is a predicted model, not a curated record.